GCUGGUGUUGCUAAGUGAUUAGAGCAUCGGGCCCAUGCCCCGAAGGGGCACAGGUUUGAUUCCUGGUCAAGGGCA
Molecule: transfer RNA, 75 nt
Filed under: Myotis lucifugus (little brown bat)
Lineage: Eukaryota; Metazoa; Chordata; Mammalia; Chiroptera; Vespertilionidae
Rfam family: tRNA
About the family: Transfer RNA (tRNA) molecules are approximately 80 nucleotides in length. Their secondary structure includes four short double-helical elements and three loops (D, anti-codon, and T loops).
Source: Rfam by way of RNAcentral